Molecule: non-coding RNA, 46 nt
Filed under: Schistosoma mansoni
Lineage: Eukaryota; Metazoa; Platyhelminthes; Trematoda; Strigeidida; Schistosomatidae
Source: RNAcentral
AUUCAGCUGACGAUUCCCUGCAUAGGACGAAACGCGCGUCCUGGAU